CCUACGGGUGGCAGCAGUGGGGAAUAUUGGACAAUGGGCGAAAGCCUGAUCCAGCCAUGCCGCGUGUGUGAAGAAGGCCUUCGGGUUGUAAAGCACUUUUAGUGGGGAAGAAAGCCUUGGGGCUAAUACCCUCGAGGAAGGACAUCACCCACAGAAGAAGCACCGGCUAACUCCGUGCCAGCAGCCGCGGUAAUACGGAGGGUGCGAGCGUUAAUCGGAAUUACUGGGCGGAAAGCGCGCGUAGGCGGUCUGAUAAGCCGGUUGUGAAAGCCCCGGGCUCAACCUGGGAACGGCAUCCGGAACUGUCAGGCUAGAGUGCAGGAGAGGAAGGUAGAAUUCCCGGUGUAGCGGUGAAAUGCGUAGAGAUCGGGAGGAAUACCAGUGGCGAAGGCGGCCUUCUGGACUGACACUGACGCUGAGGUGCGAAAGCGUGGGUAGCAAACAGGAUUAGAUACCCCUGUAGUC
RNAcentral lists this ribosomal RNA (465 nucleotides) under Vreelandella stevensii. RNAcentral's name for it is "partial 16S ribosomal RNA". It matches the Rfam family "Bacterial small subunit ribosomal RNA", at positions 338 to 795 of the family's 1533-position model. The record is from RNAcentral. Lineage: Bacteria; Pseudomonadati; Pseudomonadota; Gammaproteobacteria; Oceanospirillales; Halomonadaceae.